Molecule: ribosomal RNA, 497 nt
Filed under: uncultured bacterium
Lineage: Bacteria
Description: partial 16S ribosomal RNA
Rfam family: Bacterial small subunit ribosomal RNA
Source: RNAcentral
GAUGAACGCUGGCGGCGUGCCUAAUACAUGCAAGUCGAGCGAACAGAUGAGGAGCUUGCUCCUCUGACGUUAGCGGCGGACGGGUGAGUAACACGUGGAUAACCUACCUAUAAGACUGGGAUAACUUCGGGAAACCGGAGCUAAUACCAGAUAAUAUAUUGAACCGCAUGGUUCAAUAGUGAAAGACGGUUUUGCUGUCACUUAUAGAUGGAUCCGCGCCGCAUUAGCUAGUUGGUAAGGUAACGGCUUACCAAGGCAACGAUGCGUAGCCGACCUGAGAGGGUGAUCGGCCACACUGGAACUGAGACACGGUCCAGACUCCUACGGGAGGCAGCGGUAGGGAAUCUUCCGCAAUGGGCGAAAGCCUGACGGAGCAACGCCGCGUGAGUGAUGAAGGUCUUCGGAUCGUAAAACUCUGUUAUUAGGGAAGAACAAAUGUGUAAGUAACUAUGCACGUCUUGACGGUACCUAAUCAGAAAGCCACGGCUAACUACGUG